CGCAUCUGUGCAUGCAGCAUAUCAAUAAGCGGAGGAAAAGAAACUAACAAGGAUUCCCUUAGUAACGGCGAGUGAAGCGGGAAGAGCUCAAAUUUGAAAUCUUCAAGGUUUUACCUUGACGAAUUGUAGUUUAAAGAAGUGCUUUCUGUUGAAGUUUUGGUAAAAGUUCUUUGGAAUAGGACAUCAUAGAGGGUGAGAAUCCCGUAUUUGACCAUUAUUUUCAGCUGUGUGAUACACUUUCAAAGAGUCGGAUUGUUUGGGAAUGCAGUCCAAAAUGGGUGGUAAAUUUCAUCUAAAGCUAAAUAUUGGCGAGAGACCGAUAGCGAACAAGUACCGUGAGGGAAAGAUGAAAAGAACUUUGAAAAGAGAGUUAAACAGUACGUGAAAUUGUCAAAAGGGAAGCGUUUGACACCAGUGUUGUUUUCUCGAAAAUCAAUUAAAAAGAGUUAGAUUUUGUUGUGUAUUGACCUUAACAGCUUGCAUUUCAAUUUUCUUGCUUUUUUUAAUGCACUUUUCGUUUAACAAGUCAACAUCAGUUUCUUUUGUUGUAAAAAGGUCAUUGGAAGGUGGCUUUCUUUUCGGAGAAAGUGUUUAUAGCCUUUGACUCCUGCAAUCGGAGAGACUGAGGUCUGCAGCGUAGAUCCUUCGGGGUUAGAUACAUUUGUGCUAAGUUAUAGCUUUUUAUAGACAACUUGUUGACUAUGAUUAGUCUUGUAGCUUACUCGCUUAUGCUAUUUUACCUACGCUUAGGAUGUUGAUGUGAUACUGCGAGC
This 773-nucleotide ribosomal RNA is filed under the name uncultured Neocallimastigales. Its description in RNAcentral is "partial large subunit ribosomal RNA". It matches the Rfam family "Eukaryotic large subunit ribosomal RNA", at positions 26 to 645 of the family's 3401-position model. Lineage: Eukaryota; Fungi; Neocallimastigomycota; Neocallimastigomycetes; Neocallimastigales. The record is from RNAcentral.